RNAcentral lists this ribosomal RNA (1530 nucleotides) under Triticum aestivum (bread wheat). Its description in RNAcentral is "partial small subunit ribosomal RNA". Lineage: Eukaryota; Viridiplantae; Streptophyta; Magnoliopsida; Poales; Poaceae. The record is from RNAcentral.
AUGCGCAGUUGCAUGCCGCCCAUGGCGUGCGGGGGCGGCGGUGCCACGGGGACGGGGGAGUGCACUGGGAGCUUCUCUUCCGUGAGCAGCACGGGGGAGGGGCUGGGGGAGGAGUUCCGGCUGCCGUUCCUGGCCAUAAACCCGCCGGAGAUCGGUGAAGACGACGGCGAUCUCCGGCUCGUGAUUGCGGGCACCUCCGACCCGCUGUCCGCCCCGCCGGCCACAACGACCAAGAAGAAGAAGAGAUGCCUUCCCGGGACUCCAGACCCGAGCGCGGAGGUGAUCGCGCUGUCGCCGCGGACGCUGAUGGCGACGAACCGGUUCGUGUGCGAGAUCUGCCACAAGGGCUUCCAGCGGGACCAGAACCUGCAGCUGCACCGGCGCGGCCACAACCUGCCGUGGAAGCUGCGGCAGCGCGGCGCCGAGGGCGGGGCGGCGCCGCGGAAGCGCGCGUACGUGUGCCCGGAGCCGGCGUGCGUGCACCACGACCCCCGGCGCGCGCUGGGCGACCUCACCGGCAUCAAGAAGCACUUCUGCCGCAAGCACGGCGAGAAGAAGUGGAAGUGCGACCGCUGCGCCAAGCGCUACGCCGUGCACUCCGACUGGAAGGCCCACGCCAAGGUCUGCGGCACCCGCGAGUACCGCUGCGACUGCGGCACCCUCUUCUCCAGGAGGGACAGCUUCGUUACGCACCGGGCCUUCUGCGACGCGCUGGCGCAGGAGAACAGCAAGCUGGCGCAGCCGGCCAUGAACAUGGCCACGGUGGCUUCGGCGCUCCAGGGCCAGCAGCACGCUCACCACCACCACAACCUCAUGCUGCCGUCCACCCACGCCGACGACCUCGACAUGGACGCCGACGAGGCCUCCGCCUUCGAGCCGGACAUCAAGAGCCCGCACCUGAAGAUGUUCUCCGACUACGACGCCGACGCAGCCGCCGCCGACAACCCGCUGGGCUGCAUGCUGUCCAGCCUCGGCGCCGCUCCGUCGGCCUUCAGCCCGAGCAGCGGGCUCAGCAUGCUGGGCCUGCAUGCAGGGCCGAGCGACGCCGCCGCCAUGGGCGGCUGCUACUCCCCGGGCAACGGCAGCCUGGCGAGCAUGUCCGCCACGGCGCUGCUGCAGAAGGCGGCCCAGAUGGGCGCGACGACGUCGAGCGGCUACGGCGUGAGCUUCACCCCUGGCCACCCGGGCCUCGCGUCCACCAUGGCCGGGCUCGACCGCUUCCCUUGUAGCGCGGGCCCGUUCGGGCCGAUGAGAACCCACGGCCCGUACGACGGGGUGGUCGGGUUCGGCGUCGGCGGGCUGAUGCCUGGCCAGCUCUACAACGACGGGGACAACGGCGCGACGAGGAACGUCGGACCCGUGGCCAGCGGCGCGGACAACCCGUUGGACGAUGAGCGCCGGCGCCGGCAAGCCGCCGGCGGCGACGACGUGCACGUGGUGGACUACAUGGGCGUCGAGCACCAGAGAACAAGCUACGGUAGCGUGAGUAGCGCCAGCCCGUUCGCGGAUCACACGGGCCCGUGGGCCUAG